GGACGUUUAGCUCAGCUGGUAGAGCGUCCGCUUGACGUGCGGAAGGUCAGCGGUUCGAACCCGUUAACGUCCA
Molecule: transfer RNA, 73 nt
Filed under: [Clostridium] leptum
Lineage: Bacteria; Bacillati; Bacillota; Clostridia; Eubacteriales; Oscillospiraceae
Also listed under: 2 other names
Description: Clostridium leptum tRNA
Rfam family: tRNA
About the family: Transfer RNA (tRNA) molecules are approximately 80 nucleotides in length. Their secondary structure includes four short double-helical elements and three loops (D, anti-codon, and T loops).
Source: Rfam by way of RNAcentral